This is a non-coding RNA of Schizosaccharomyces pombe (fission yeast), 862 nucleotides long. NCBI's taxonomy places the organism in Eukaryota, Fungi, Ascomycota, Schizosaccharomycetes, Schizosaccharomycetales, Schizosaccharomycetaceae. The record is from the annotation of a GenBank genome assembly.
CUACAGUUUUAAAGAUAAAAAAGAAAGUCAUAAACUUUCCAAUCCCAUAAUCCAAUUUACCAAUGAGAUGAUUAUAAUUGAUGUUUUAAGAAAUCGACUCUUUUAUCUUUUGUAAAUGCUGCUCAGCAUUUGAGGCCGUUGUUUCGUGAUAUGUUUGUUUCUUUUGUAGUGCUUCAAUAUCUUCUCUUAAACUUGCCAUUUCUGCGUCCAAAUGUGUACGUACGGAAGCCAAAUCGGAUUUCAUAAACCUGUAAAUAAACAGUUAGUAAAUGACUUUACAUAUAGAUUGACAGUACGGUCAAUUCCAUUCCAAAAGUGCUGUUUUUGCUAAUUCCGUAUUCUUUCCCUAUUUUUAUAGAAAAGAAAAUAAAAAUACAUGUUUCAUUUUAUGACACUUACAUCUUUCCAAGAGAAGUAUAUACGGCCUUAUCUUCUCCAACAUCCUCUAACUCUUUUUUGGCUAAUUCACUUAUUUUUAGUGCCCGUUCCUUGGCAGCAAUCUGUACCAUUAUGGUCCUCAGUUGUUGCUGUGAAUCAACCGCUUUCUCUUGUAUUUGACUAGCUAACUAAUAUGCCCAAAGCUCAUUAGUUUACCAUGUAACACAGUUAAAAAGAGGGAAAUUCCUAACAAAAUAAUUCUCUUCUCAAUGAUGAAAUACGUACAUUUUGCAUUAUUUAAAGGAAACUUGGGUAUAUCUCAAGAACUUAUUUUUUUUGGAUUGAAUUGCUCUUUCCAAAAUUAUGGUACAAAGAAUAGUCCUUUUAAUACUUUUUUUAUAGACAAAUCAAGAACUUUUUCAAUAUAUUUGAAUAUACCACCUUUACAAGUAUAUCAAGUCUUAGGCAAAAUGUUGGUUAGGCC